Molecule: ribosomal RNA, 233 nt
Filed under: uncultured bacterium
Lineage: Bacteria
Description: partial 16S ribosomal RNA
Rfam family: Bacterial small subunit ribosomal RNA
Source: RNAcentral
GACGCCGAGCGGAACCCGAAAGCCCCUCUCAGUUCGGAUCGGAGUCUGCAACCCGACUCCGUGAAGCUGGAUUCGCUAGUAAUCGCGCAUCAGCCAUGGCGCGGUGAAUACGUUCCCGGGCCUUGUACACACCGCCCGUCAAGCCAUGGGAGCCGAGAGCGCUUGAAGUGCGUCGCCGCGAGGCGCGCCCUAGAGCGAGGCCGGUGACUGGGGCUAAGUCGUAACAAGGUAGC